AAGUCGUAACAAGGUUUCCGUAGGUGAACCUGCGGAAGGAUCAUUAUUGAAUAAACUUGAACGGGCUGUUGCUGGUGUCCCUUGGGGCGCAUGUGCACGCCUGUCAUCUUUAUUUCUCCAACUGUGCACUUAUUGUCGACCUGAAGGGUUCUUCGAAUUGUUUUCGAGUUGGGGGACUGCUGUGCUUGAAAAGAGUCGGCUUUCCCUUGUAUUUUUCAGGUCGAUGUCAUUUUCACAAACCUAUGAAACCUGUUUAGAAUGUUGAAUCAGGUCCUUUUGUACCUAUAAAGUUAAAUAUACAACUUUCAGCAACGGAUCUCUUGGCUCUCGCAUCGAUGAAGAACGCAGCGAAAUGCGAUAAGUAAUGUGAAUUGCAGAAUUCAGUGAAUCAUCGAAUCUUUGAACGCAUCUUGCGCUCCUUGGUAUUCCGAGGAGCAUGCCUGUUUGAGUGUCAUCUAAGUCCUCAAACCACAUUGAUUGUUUUCGGUGUGGCUUGGAUGUGGGGGUUUUUUUUUUUGCAGGCUUUAGAAAUGAAGUCUGCUCCCCUGAAACGCAUUAGUGGUAUCUGAGCAGAAGAACUACUACAGGUGUGAUAAUAUAUCUAUGCCUUGGUAAUGCUGCAUGAACAGAUUGCGCCGCUUCCAACAAGAAUUUAUUAUUUUUGGAGACCUCAAAUCAGGUAGGACUACCCGCUGAACUUAAGCAUAUCAAUAAGCGGAGGAAAAGAAACUAACAAGGAUUCCCCUAGUAACUGCGAGUGAAGCGGGAAAAGCUCAAAUUUGAAAUCUGGCAGUUCUUGACUGUCCGAGUUGUAAUCUAGAGAAGUGUUACCUGUGCUGGACCGUGUACAAGUCUCCUGGAAUGGAGCAUCAUAGAGGGUGAGAAUCCCGUCUUUGACACGGACUACCUGUGCGUUAUGGUGCGCUCUCAAAGAGUCGAGUUGUUUGGGAAUGCAGCUCAAAAUGGGUGGUAAAUGCCAUCUAAAGCUAAAUAUUGGCGAGAGACCGAUAGCGAACAAGUACCGUGAGGGAAAGAUGAAAAGAACUUUGGAAAGAGAGUUAAACAGUACGUGAAAUUGCUGAAAGGGAAACGCUUGAAGUCAGUCGCGUUGGCUAGAAAUCAGCUUUGCUCUUGCACGGUGUACUUUCUGGUCGACGGGUCAGCAUCAAUUUUGACCAUCGGAUAAAGUCUUUGGGAAUGUGGCAUCUCAGGAUGUGUUAUAGCCCAUUGUCGUAUACGAUGGUUGGGAUUGAGGAACUCAGCACGCCGCAAGGCCAGGUUUCGACCAUGUUCGUGCUUAGGAUGCUGGCAUAAUGGCUUUAAUCGACC
This 1329-nucleotide ribosomal RNA is filed under the name uncultured fungus. RNAcentral describes it as "eukaryotic LSU rRNA". The stretch from base 666 to 1329 matches the Rfam family "Eukaryotic large subunit ribosomal RNA", at positions 1 to 649 of the family's 3401-position model. Lineage: Eukaryota; Fungi. The record is from RNAcentral.